UAUAAUAAAUUUUAUUUGCAGUUUGUUUGAGAAUUCAGACCAACCCUGUGAAUGGUACAGAUUUCAAAGGAAUCAGUCCCGAGAGAGCAUUUGCUGAUUUCAUCUUCGCAAGUGUUGUUCUUCAUCUGGUGGUCAUGAAUUUCAUUGGUUGAAUUUUGUGGACAGCAACAUGCCGUACGUUACCAUAAUCAAAAUUUGUGAAAUUACUUAGUAAUGCUAAUAAAUAUAUUUCCGGUAUAUUUAUGUUAUAAGGGUAAUUUUUGGUGUGUGGUUAUGAUAUACGUUCCUAACAUGUGCAGAUAUGGUAAGCAG
Molecule: non-coding RNA, 312 nt
Organism: Paramuricea clavata
Lineage: Eukaryota; Metazoa; Cnidaria; Anthozoa; Malacalcyonacea; Plexauridae
Source: the annotation of a GenBank genome assembly